RNAcentral lists this ribosomal RNA (257 nucleotides) under Escherichia coli. Its description in RNAcentral is "partial 23S ribosomal RNA". It matches the Rfam family "Bacterial large subunit ribosomal RNA", at positions 2691 to 2925 of the family's 2925-position model. The record is from RNAcentral. Lineage: Bacteria; Pseudomonadati; Pseudomonadota; Gammaproteobacteria; Enterobacterales; Enterobacteriaceae.
ACCGGAGUGGACGCAUCACUGGUGUUCGGGUUGUCAUGCCAAUGGCACUGCCCGGUAGCUAAAUGCGGAAGAGAUAAGUGCUGAAAGCAUCUAAGCACGAAACUUGCCCCGAGAUGAGUUCUCCCUGACCCUUUAAGGGUCCUGAAGGAACGUUGAAGACGACGACGUUGAUAGGCCGGGUGUGUAAGCGCAGCGAUGCGUUGAGCUAACCGGUACUAAUGAACCGUGAGGCUUAACCUUACAACGCCGAAGCUGUU